Molecule: long non-coding RNA, 225 nt
Filed under: Capsella rubella
Lineage: Eukaryota; Viridiplantae; Streptophyta; Magnoliopsida; Brassicales; Brassicaceae
Description: long non-coding RNA (CRUB_LNC003754)
Source: RNAcentral
UUUUUUCAUAUUCAGGUUUUUGUAGUAAUGUGGACCUAACAUUAAUAUUUCAUAAAAUACAACUCUCUUUUUCUUUUUUUUUUAGAGAAUAAACUGUAUAUAUACAAACUCAUAUAUUAUGUUUUAACUAAAAGAAUAAUCAACAAUACCAUAACAAUAAAGUUUGAAAAAGUUGCUAUUUAAACCAUCUAUUUCUUACAAAAGGGUAGUCGACACUAAUCAAAC